This 73-nucleotide transfer RNA is filed under the name Microbacteriaceae bacterium MWH-Ta3. RNAcentral's name for it is "actinobacterium MWH-Ta3 tRNA". It matches the Rfam family "tRNA". Rfam says of the family: Transfer RNA (tRNA) molecules are approximately 80 nucleotides in length. Lineage: Bacteria; Bacillati; Actinomycetota; Actinomycetes; Micrococcales; Microbacteriaceae. RNAcentral also lists the same sequence under 2 other names. The record is from Rfam by way of RNAcentral.
GCCGACUUAGCUCAGCUGGUAGAGCAUCUGUCUUGUAAACAGAAGGUCACGAGUUCGAACCUCGUAGUCGGCU